CCUACGGGCGGCAGCAGUGGGGAAUAUUGGACAAUGGGGGCAACCCUGAUCCAGCCAUGCCGCGUGUGUGAAGAAGGCCCUCGGGUUGUAAAGCACUUUCAGUGAGGAAGAACGCCUGGUGGUUAAUACCCAUCAGGAAAGACAUCACUCACAGAAGAAGCACCGGCUAACUCCGUGCCAGCAGCCGCGGUAAUACGGAGGGUGCGAGCGUUAAUCGGAAUUACUGGGCGUAAAGCGCGCGUAGGUGGCUUGAUAAGCCGGUUGUGAAAGCCCCGGGCUCAACCUGGGAACGGCAUCCGGAACUGUCAAGCUAGAGUGCAGGAGAGGAAGGUAGAAUUCCCGGUGUAGCGGUGAAAUGCGUAGAGAUCGGGAGGAAUACCAGUGGCGAAGGCGGCCUUCUGGACUGACACUGACACUGAGGUGCGAAAGCGCGGGUAGCAAACAGGAUUAGAUACCCUGGUAGUC
Molecule: ribosomal RNA, 465 nt
Filed under: Vreelandella stevensii
Lineage: Bacteria; Pseudomonadati; Pseudomonadota; Gammaproteobacteria; Oceanospirillales; Halomonadaceae
Description: partial 16S ribosomal RNA
Rfam family: Bacterial small subunit ribosomal RNA
Source: RNAcentral